GUGUCAGCAGCCGCGGUAAUACGGAGGAUGUAAGCGUUAUCCGGAUUUAUUGGGUUUAAAGGGUGCGUAGGCGGAAAAAUAAGUCAGUGGUGAAAACCUGCAGCUUAACUGUAGAAUUGCCAUUGAUACUGUUAUUCUUGAGUAUGGUCAGGGUAGGCGGAAUGUGUAAUGUAGCGGUGAAAUGCUUAGAUAUUACACAGAACACCGAUUGCGAAGGCAGCUUGCUGGGCCAUUACUGACGCUGAUGCACGAAAGCGUGGGGAUCGAACAGGAUUAGAUACCCUGGUAGUCCACGCCGUAAACGAUGAUCACUCGCUGUUAGCGAUACACAGUUAGCGGCUAAGCAAAAGCAUUAAGUGAUCCACCUGGGGAGUACGGCCGCAAGGCUGAAACUCAAAUGAAUUGACGGGG
Molecule: ribosomal RNA, 411 nt
Filed under: uncultured prokaryote
Description: bacterial SSU rRNA
Rfam family: Bacterial small subunit ribosomal RNA
Source: RNAcentral